GACUUCCUAUUACCUGACUUCUUGAGUUCUUUCUUAUUCUCCAUCUCUAAUCGUUGGUUUGUUUUGUUGUUUUGGUUGACGACAAACAAGUUGUUCUUUCUUUUAUUCUCUUUUGGUGGCAAAUAGGUUCUUUUAUUCUCUUGUUGAAUAUUUUUGUUGUCACUAUUUUUUUAAUCUAUAUUUCUUUGUUAUUGUUUAAUUAUUAUCUUGUUUGGUUACUGUUUGAUUAUUGUCUUGUUUGUAUCUAUUUGUUUAUUCUCUUGUCUAAUUUUAUUGGCAAACAUCUUUUAUUCUAUUUGUU
RNAcentral lists this long non-coding RNA (301 nucleotides) under Lathyrus oleraceus (garden pea). RNAcentral describes it as "Pisum sativum (pea) long non-coding RNA (PSAT_LNC003441)". Lineage: Eukaryota; Viridiplantae; Streptophyta; Magnoliopsida; Fabales; Fabaceae. The record is from RNAcentral.